AUGCCCAGGGCUUGGCACACAGGAGGGGCUCAGUGGGAGGGAGGGGUGAACUUGGAACCCACCCAGGACUGCCUGAUGGACAGAGACCAGGGACCCGCCGCCAGUGUUGCCUAUGGGAGCUGUGACCCGAGGCGCCCCUCACAGGGCAGCUGCCCCUGCGUCCAGCCGUCCACACAGCAGUAUGGGUGCAGUGGAUGCCUGGUCGACCCAGAAGCCCCUGUGACCCCUGGGACAGGGACUGGGAAGCAGUCCCAGCAGAGCGGUGGCUGCCACCCUUCUGUGCUCCCCAGGGAAUCAGUCCAAUCAGCUGUCCUGAGGGAUAGCUGGCUACACGGAAACCGCCCUGGCGAGCACGGUUUGCGUUCUCACGUAGCAUCACCGCAUCACCGCACAGCUCAGGGUGUUUCCUUCAUUCUACAAAGUCCCCUCGGGAUGCUUGGCUGUUGGCUUCUCUACCCCCAGCCCUGGCCAGGCUGGUCUCCAGCUCUCCCUCCCGCUGUUUUGCCCUCUUCAGAAGGCUACAGACCUGGAGUGGAGCAGCGAGACUGCUUCCUCGCUGAGCGCAAGGCCCACGCCCACGGCCGUCUCGGUGUUCGAGUCAGUAGCUCACUCCUCUCUACUGCUGGGCAGUACCCCAGCGUCAGGGCGUUACGCGGUGUGUGUGCACCUCGGAGGAGGGACCAUCCCUUCCUUUCUACAGGAGAACAACCAGAGCUGCUACAGACCCGUGUGGAGGAUGUACUUGUGGGGCCCCUUCCCCAGGGACGCUCAGGCUGCCCCCCUCCGAGGGCUGCUGCAGCCAGGUCACUGCCUCUGCUUCCUAGUGGGGCUCUGGACAGGGCUUCCUCCCCAUGCAGUCCCAGACUGAUCAGGAGCCUCCCCACCCAAAGUGUUGGGAGCAGCUCGCGCGUCCAAUUGUCCCUGCGUGGAUGUUCCUUGUUUCAACUGACAGGUGUCAUAGCUUCUUCAAUAGCCACAUCCGCUCUACUCAACUGCACCUGCCCCUCCUGA
RNAcentral lists this long non-coding RNA (1011 nucleotides) under Oryctolagus cuniculus (rabbit). RNAcentral describes it as "lncRNA (ENSOCUG00000030578.1)". Lineage: Eukaryota; Metazoa; Chordata; Mammalia; Lagomorpha; Leporidae. The record is from RNAcentral.